CUCAGCUGCCACAUGUGGCUAGCAGCUACUGUGCUGGGCAGUGCAGCUCUCCAAGGGGGCCAUCCUCACUCACAGACGUCACGCAUGUGCAUCAGUGUGGUAUUUUAUGAGGAGAUGUGAGCCGACUUUAUAUUGAACAAUUUCUAAUGGAGGCAAAAUCCACUUAACACAAAACUUACCAUUCAAAAGUGAACCAAUGGCAUGUAGUAUAUCCACAAUGGUGCACAACCAUCACCUUUAUCUAGUUUCAAAACACUUUCAUUACCUCACAAAGAAGCCCUGUGCCAAUUAUCAGUCACUCCCCAUUUGCUCUAACCCUUCCUCUAAAUUGUUCCCUCAACCCCACCAAGCCACUGGCAACUACUAAUGAUUCUGCCUCUACAGAUUUGCCGGUUCUGGACAUUUCACACAAAUGGAAUAAUACAGUUAUCUGUUUGUUUUUGUCUGGCUUAUUUCACUUGGCAUAAUGUCCUCCUCAAUGUUCAUCUAUGUUGUAGCAUGAAUCAGAACUCCAUUCCUUUUUAAGGUUGAAUAAUAUUCCACUGUAUGGAUAAACCACAUUUUGUUUCAUCAACUGAUGGACAUUUCAGGUGCCCCCACUUUUUGGCUGUUGUGAAUAAUGCUGCUAUGAACAUUGAUGUACAUACAUCUGUUUGAGUCCCUGUUUUCAAUUCUUCUGUAUAUUUACCCAGAAGUGCUGGGUCAUAUGGUAAUUCUACAGUUAACUUUUUGAGGAACUACCAUACUAUUUUCGAAAGCAGCUGCACCACUUUACCUUCCCACCAGCGGCAUACAAUGGCUCCAGUUUCUCCAUACCCUCACCAACACUUGUUAUCUUCUGUUGUGUGUGUGUGUGUGUGUGUGUGUGUGUGUGUGUGUGUUUAAUUACAGCCAUCCCACAGGUGUGGCUAGCACCACUGGUCCUUUGUCCUGACCAUAUACACACAGGCCUGCCUCCUCUGCCUUCCAGACCUGCUCCAGUCAAGUUUCCAUCUGUCAUCACUGUAACCAAGUGGGCUGCCCUCCAUGCUGGGGCAGCAAACAGGACCUGAGGUGUUGUCUAUAAAGGUUCUUGUAAAGGCUCUGGAAGAGGAAGGUCUCAGUUGCAAAAUUUUAA
This 1117-nucleotide long non-coding RNA is filed under the name Homo sapiens (human). RNAcentral describes it as "HSALNT0121994". Lineage: Eukaryota; Metazoa; Chordata; Mammalia; Primates; Hominidae. The record is from RNAcentral.